CUAUCUGUAGCGUAGUGGCUAACGCGCUUGUUUUGGGUACAAGAGAUCGCAGAUUCGAAUUCUGCCAGAUAGACCA
RNAcentral lists this transfer RNA (76 nucleotides) under Pseudomonadota bacterium. RNAcentral describes it as "tRNA-Pro". It matches the Rfam family "tRNA". From Rfam's summary of the family: Transfer RNA (tRNA) molecules are approximately 80 nucleotides in length. Their secondary structure includes four short double-helical elements and three loops (D, anti-codon, and T loops). Further hydrogen bonds mediate the characteristic L-shaped molecular structure. tRNAs have two regions of fundamental functional importance: the anti-codon, which is responsible for specific mRNA codon recognition, and the 3' end, to which the tRNAs corresponding amino acid is attached (by aminoacyl-tRNA synthetases). tRNAs cope with the degeneracy of the genetic code in two manners: having more than one tRNA (with a specific anti-codon) for a particular amino acid; and 'wobble' base-pairing, i.e. permitting non-standard base-pairing at the 3rd anti-codon position. The record is from RNAcentral. Lineage: Bacteria; Pseudomonadati; Pseudomonadota.